Molecule: unclassified non-coding RNA, 306 nt
Filed under: plant metagenome
Description: partial contains 5.8S ribosomal RNA, internal transcribed spacer 2, and large subunit ribosomal RNA
Rfam family: 5.8S ribosomal RNA (bases 1-105)
Source: RNAcentral
GAAAUGCGAUAAGUAGUGUGAAUUGCAGAAUUCAGUGAAUCAUCGAAUCUUUGAACGCACAUUGCGCCCCUUGGUAUUCCAUGGGGCAUGCCUGUUCGAGCGUCAUUUGUACCUUCAAGCUUUGCUUGGUGUUGGGUGUUUGUCUCGCCUCUGCGCGCAGACUCGCCUCAAAACAAUUGGCAGCUGGCGUAUUGAUUUCGGAGCGCAGUACAUCUCGCGCUUUGCACUCAUAACGACGACGUCCAAAAAGUACAUUUUUUACACUCUUGACCUCGGAUCAGGUAGGGAUACCCGCUGAACUUAAGC